This is a microRNA precursor of Oryza sativa Japonica Group (Japanese rice), 206 nucleotides long. It matches the Rfam family "MIR812 microRNA precursor family". The record is from Rfam. Lineage: Eukaryota; Viridiplantae; Streptophyta; Magnoliopsida; Poales; Poaceae.
AAAAAGGCAAACCCUAGGUUUUCGUGUCCAACUUUGAUUGUCCGUCUUAUAUGAAAUUUUUUUAUAAUUCGUAUUUUUAUUGUUGUCAGAUGAUAAAACAUGAUUAAUAUUUUAUGCGUGACUUGUCUUUUUAUUUUUUUUUCAUAAUUUUUUCAAAUAAGACGGACGGUCAAAUGUUGAGCACGGAAACCAGGGUUUGUCUUUUU